RNAcentral lists this ribosomal RNA (253 nucleotides) under uncultured bacterium. RNAcentral describes it as "partial 16S ribosomal RNA". It matches the Rfam family "Bacterial small subunit ribosomal RNA", at positions 524 to 776 of the family's 1533-position model. The record is from RNAcentral.
UACGAAGGGGGCUAGCGUUGCUCGGAUUUACUGGGCGUAAAGGGCGCGUAGGCGGACGACCAAGUUGGGGGUGAAAGCCCGGGGCUCAACCUCGGAAUUGCCUUCAAAACUGGUCGUCUUGAGUAUGAGAGAGGUGUGUGGAACUCCGAGUGUAGAGGUGAAAUUCGUAGAUAUUCGGAGGAACACCAGUGGCGAAGGCGGCUCACUGGCUCGACACUGACGCUGAGGUGCGAAAGCGUGGGGAGCAAACAGG